This 30-nucleotide non-coding RNA is filed under the name Mus musculus (house mouse). The record is from RNAcentral. Lineage: Eukaryota; Metazoa; Chordata; Mammalia; Rodentia; Muridae.
UGCCUGGAACCCAGCUCCAGAGGAUCUGAC